GACGAACGCUGGCGGCGUGCUUAACACAUGCAAGUCGAACGAUGAACCCGGAGCUUGCUCUGGGGGAUUAGUGGCGAACGGGUGAGAAACACGUGAGUAACCUGCCCUGGACUCUGGGAUAAGCGUUGGAAACGACGUCUAAUACCGGAUAGGACCUUGGAUCGCAUGAUCUGGGGUGGAAAGUUUUUUCGGUCUGGGAUGGACUCGCGGCCUAUCAGCUUGUUGGUGAGGUAAUGGCUCACCAAGGCGUCGACGGGUAGCCGGCCUGAGAGGGUGACCGGCCACACUGGGACUGAGACACGGCCCAGACUCCUACGGGAGGCAGCAGUGGGGAAUAUUGCACAAUGGGCGAAAGCCUGAUGCAGCAACGCCGCGUGUGGGAUGACGGCCUUCGGGUUGUAAACCGCUUUUAGUAGGGAAGAAGGGCUUCGGCUUGACGGUACCUGCAGAAAAAGGACCGGCUAACUACGUG
This 472-nucleotide ribosomal RNA is filed under the name uncultured bacterium. Its description in RNAcentral is "partial 16S ribosomal RNA". It matches the Rfam family "Bacterial small subunit ribosomal RNA", at positions 28 to 507 of the family's 1533-position model. The record is from RNAcentral.